This 476-nucleotide ribosomal RNA is filed under the name uncultured bacterium. RNAcentral describes it as "partial 16S ribosomal RNA". It matches the Rfam family "Bacterial small subunit ribosomal RNA", at positions 28 to 506 of the family's 1533-position model. The record is from RNAcentral.
GAUUAACGCUGGCGGCGUGCAUAACACAUGCAAGUCGAACGAUGAAACUUUAAUGAACCCUUCGGGGAGAAUUAAAGCGGAUUAGUGGCGAACGGGUGAGUAACGCGUGAGUAACCUGCCUUACACAAGGGGAUAGCCUUUGGAAACGAAGAAUAAUACCCUAUAAAACCAUAAAAGCACAUGCAAUUAUGGUCAAAGUGAUAGCGGUGUAAGAUGGACUUGCGUCUGAUUAGCUAGUUGGUGAGAUAAAAGCCCACCAAGGCAACGAUCAGUAGCCGGCGUGAGAGAGUGUACGGCCACAUUGGGACUGAGACACGGCCCAGACUCCUACGGGAGGCAGCAGUGGGGAAUUUUGCACAAUGGGGGAAACCCUGAUGCAGCGACGCCGCGUGAUUUAGAAGGCCUUCGGGUUGUAAAAAUCUUUUGGAUAGGAAGAAAAUGACAGUACUAUACGAAUAAAGUCCGGCUAAUUACGU